Caenorhabditis elegans is the source of this 144-nucleotide non-coding RNA. The record is from Ensembl. NCBI's taxonomy places the organism in Eukaryota, Metazoa, Nematoda, Chromadorea, Rhabditida, Rhabditidae.
GUGCGCCAGAGAAAAAGACGGACAGACACAAAUUGAGUGAGUGUGCGUUGCCCACUUUAGUUGUUGUCAUGCGACGGCGGCGGCACGCGCUCUCUCAUCGGCCGGCACUGCUGUCCAUCGAUUUUUCUUCUUUCAAACGUCGUG